ACUCAAAUGAAUUGACGGGGGCCCGCACAAGCAGCGGAGCAUGUGGUUUAAUUCGAUGCAACGCGAAAAACCUUACCAGGGCUUGACAUCCUCUGAAGCUAUAAGAGAUUAUAGUGUCCCUUCGGGGCAGAGUGACAGGUGGUGCAUGGUUGUCGUCAGCUCGUGUCGUGAGAUGUUGGGUUAAGUCCCGCAACGAGCGCAACCCUUAUCCUCAGUUGCCAUCACUUCGGGUGGGCACUCUGAGGAGACUGCCGGUGACAAACCGGAGGAAGGUGGGGAUGACGUCAAAUCAUCAUGCCCCUUAUGUCCUGGGCUACACACGUGCUACAAUGGCCUGAACAACGGGCAUGCGAAGGAGCGAUCCGGAGCCAAUCCCUUAAAUCAGGUCCCAGUUCGGAUUGCAGGCUGCAACUCGCCUGCAUGAAGUAGGAGUUGCUAGUAAUCGCGGAUCAGCAUGCCGCGGUGAAUGCGUUCCCGGGCCUUGUACACACCGCCCGU
This 498-nucleotide ribosomal RNA is filed under the name uncultured bacterium. RNAcentral describes it as "bacterial SSU rRNA". It matches the Rfam family "Bacterial small subunit ribosomal RNA", at positions 899 to 1397 of the family's 1533-position model. The record is from RNAcentral.